GGGCCCGUAUCCCAGCAGGCUAGAGGACGCCGCCUUAGAAGCGGUGCGUCGUGGGUUCAAGUCCCACCGGGCCCAC
Molecule: transfer RNA, 76 nt
Filed under: Streptomyces capitiformicae
Lineage: Bacteria; Bacillati; Actinomycetota; Actinomycetes; Kitasatosporales; Streptomycetaceae
Description: tRNA-Leu
Rfam family: tRNA
About the family: Transfer RNA (tRNA) molecules are approximately 80 nucleotides in length.
Source: RNAcentral